Molecule: long non-coding RNA, 2455 nt
Filed under: Homo sapiens (human)
Lineage: Eukaryota; Metazoa; Chordata; Mammalia; Primates; Hominidae
Description: non-protein coding lnc-NUTM2G-6:4
Source: RNAcentral
GGCAUCCGGAUGGCGACUGCGGGAAAUCGAGUUCUCAUGCUGGGGCGAAAGGUGUGUCUGCAGGAGCCAAAUCCAAAUGAGCAGUCCAGGUACUUCAGAGUUUUAACCUGAGCGAAACAGGAAUGUCUCGGGUCUUAACAGGACCGUCCGCCCGCUCGGAAGAGGCGAAUCUCCCACGGCAGACGUCUGGGUGUGCGAAUGCCAGUUGAGCGGGGCCUCGAGGACGCGUCACACACAGCGAGGAUUUGAGGAGGGAAGCGCCUUCCAGAGCUUCAGAGAAGAGGCAGAAGUGUGCAAACAGGAGCAGGUCCAAGAUUUGCAUGGCCAGAAGCAAUUCUUGAUCCUCUUGGCUAGAUUCGAAGAUUUGGCCACCUCCAGACGCUACCACACUCUGGGACAGUGGGAGAUUUGGAACAGCUUUGAGAAGAGCAAGUGUCUACGCACAAAGACAACUCUAGGUCUCCUGCUGGAGCUACACUCCCAUGGGACUAAACGGUGUCCAUGUGGAAGCAUCUGAUGGCCACCUUCUGUUCAGGUGAGAAACCUGUUUAUUCUGUCUUUAGUCUUUCAGCAGCCGGCUUCUAGUAUCUCCUGGCAAUUGAUGGUAACUGGCUGGAGCUGCUCUCUGGUGUUGCCUGAAGGCCAGAGAGUGAAUAGGGCCAGCAGCCCUGCCUGCAAGGCAGAAAGGCUGUUCCUAUAUUUUCUGAUCGGUAGCCUCAAUGCCUACGUGUGACGCAACUGACAGUGGAAGCUCAUUCACGGCAAAUUCACAUGUUUUGGAUGACUCAGAUUUUCUCUUUCUCACUCUAAAUUCUCCUGUGGAGUCAGCCAGCCAUCCUAUUCCAGCUAAAUCAGCUGAUCUUGGUCACCACCCCAUCCCCAGGGAUGGGCGGAGGGGGUGGCGGCAGCGACAGCAGGGGAGGCAGCUGGAUUAAACAGGUCACCUGCAGGUAUUUUAUGCUGGGGUUUGUAAGGAAGGUGAUAACUGUCGCUACUCCCAUGACCUCUCUGACAGUCCGUGUGGUGUAGUGUGCAAGUAUUUUCAGUGAGGGUACUGUAUUUAUGGAGACCGCUGCAGAUAUGAACAUAGCAAGCCAUUGAAACAGGAAGAAGCAGCUGCUACAGAGCUAACUACAAUAUCAUCCCUUGCUGCUUCCUCAAGUCUCUUGUCGUUAGUCGGACCACUUGUUGAAAUGAAUACAGGUGAAGCUGAGUCAAGAAAUUCAAACUUUGCAAUUGUAGGAGCAGGUUCAGAGGACUGGGUGCAUGCUAUUGAGUUUGUUCCUGGGCAACCCUACUUUGGCUAUAUUAGAUUUUCAGUUCCCUUGUAGUUCAUGUAUCUGUCUUAUUAGUUUGGACCUUUACCACCCUCUUGAAAAUUUUCAGCUGUGCCUUCCUGCACUGAAGCACCUCUGCAGGACUCAGUGACCAAGGAAGAAUCAGAGAAAGAGAAAAACUGCUGUGGAAACCAAGAAGCAGCUGUGCCCCUGUGCUGCAGUGAGAGAGUGCUGAGAUGGGGAGAACUGUGUGCCUCUCCAUGGAGAUUCAUGUGACAUGUGUGGACUGCAGGUCCUGCAUCCCAUGGCUGCUGCCCAGAGAUCACAGCAUAUAAAAUUGUGCAUUGAGGCCCAUGAGAAGGACAUGGAGCUCUCACUUGCUGUGCAGCGCAGCAAGGACGUGGUGUAUGGGAUCUGCAUGGAGGUGGUCUAUGAGAAAGCAAACCCCAGUGAGUGCUGCUUCGGGAUUCUCUCCAACUGCAACCAUGCCUACUGUCUCAAGUGCAUUCGCAAGUGGAGCAGUGCUAAGCAAUUUCAGAGCAAGAUUAUAAAGUCCUGCCUAGAUUGCCAGAUCACAUCUAACUUUGUCAUUCCAAGUGAGUCCUGGGUGGAGAAAGAAGAGAAGCAGAAACUCAUUCAGAAAUACAAGGAGGCAUUGAGCAACAAGGCUUGCAGGUAUUUUGAUGAAGGACGUGGGAGCUGCCCAUUUGGAAGGAAUUGUUUUUACAAGCAUGCGUACCCUGAUGGCCUUACAGAGAAGCCACAGAGACAGAAAGUGGGAACAUCAAGCAGAAACUGGGUCCAAUGAAGGAACCACUUCUGAGAACUCACUGAGGAAAGAGAUAGCAGCAACCCUUUUGACAAUGAUGAAGAGGUUGUCACCUCUUGAGGUGGGCGAGAUGUUGCUUAUGCUUUUGGCUGCAGGUGGGGAUGAUGAACUGGCAGACUCUGAAGAUGAGUGGGACUUGUUUCAUGAUGAGCUGGAAGAUUUUUAUGAUUUGGAUCUAUAGCAACCUUGUGUGGCGUGUGAACUGGUCUGCUGACCCCAGACAGCAGCUGUCCCCUGUGCUGGUGUGGCAGUGCCUGUGUUCUCUCCUAGGUAGGCCUAUCAACUCCAGGUGUUGUAAAAAUUUUUACCCAGGGCCUGUCUUCUCAACCCUUCACCUUUCCCCGAGGAG